Molecule: ribosomal RNA, 253 nt
Filed under: uncultured bacterium
Lineage: Bacteria
Description: partial 16S ribosomal RNA
Rfam family: Bacterial small subunit ribosomal RNA
Source: RNAcentral
UACGGAGGGUGCAAACGUUGCUCGGAAUCAUUGGGCGUAAAGCGCACGUAGGCGGCCAACUAAGUCAGACGUGAAAUCCCUCGGCUUAACCGGGGAACUGCGUCUGAUACUGGAUGGCUUGAAUUCGGGAGAGGGAUGCGGAAUUCCAGGUGUAGCGGUGAAAUGCGUAGAUAUCUGGAGGAACACCGGUGGCGAAGGCGGCAUCCUGGACCGACAUUGACGCUGAGGAGCGAAAGCCAGGGGAGCAAACGGG